UCGAGAAUCUUCGGCAAUGGGCGAAAGCCUGACCGAGCGAUGCCGCGUGCGGGAUGAAGGCCCUCGGGUUGUAAACCGCUGUCGUAGGGGAGGAAGGCUCCGUGAAGAGCGGGGUUUGACCUAUCCUAGGAGGAAGUACGGGCUAAGUACGUGCCAGCAGCCGCGGUAAUACGUACCGUACGAACGUUAUUCGGAAUUACUGGGCUUAAAGGGUUUGUAGGCGGCCUUGUAAGUCAGGUGUGAAAUCCCUCGGCUCAACCGAGGAAUAGCGCUUGAUACUGCAAGGCUUGAGGGAGACAGGGGUAAGCGGAACUGAUGGUGGAGCGGUGAAAUGCGUUGAUAUCAUCAGGAACACCGGUGGCGAAAGCGGCUUACUGGGUCUCUUCUGACGCUGAGGAACGAAAGCUAGGGGAGCGAACGG
Molecule: ribosomal RNA, 421 nt
Filed under: uncultured bacterium
Lineage: Bacteria
Description: bacterial SSU rRNA
Rfam family: Bacterial small subunit ribosomal RNA
Source: RNAcentral